UACGGAAGGUCCGGGCGUUAUCCGGAAUUACUGGGUGUAAAGGGAGCGCAGGCGGGUCAGCAAGUCAGCGGUGAAAAUUAUGGGCUCAACCCAUAAACUGCCGUUGAAACUGUUGAUCUUGAGUGGAGUAGAGGUAGGCGGAAUUCCGAGUGUAGCGGUGAAAUGCGUAGAUAUUCGGAGGAACACCAGUGGCGAAGGCGGCCUACUGGGCUCUAACUGACGCUGAGGCUCGAAAGUGUGGGGAGCAAAC
This 250-nucleotide ribosomal RNA is filed under the name uncultured prokaryote. Its description in RNAcentral is "partial 16S ribosomal RNA". It matches the Rfam family "Bacterial small subunit ribosomal RNA", at positions 524 to 773 of the family's 1533-position model. The record is from RNAcentral.